This is a non-coding RNA of Aedes albopictus (Asian tiger mosquito), 73 nucleotides long. The record is from Rfam. NCBI's taxonomy places the organism in Eukaryota, Metazoa, Arthropoda, Insecta, Diptera, Culicidae.
UUUUCUGUGGCUUAGUUGGUUAAAGCGCUUGACUAGCGAUAAGGAGUCGUGAGCUCCAAUCCCACCAUAACAA